This is a long non-coding RNA of Oncorhynchus keta (chum salmon), 430 nucleotides long. RefSeq lists it as uncharacterized. Lineage: Eukaryota; Metazoa; Chordata; Actinopteri; Salmoniformes; Salmonidae. The transcript is spliced from 3 exons. The record is from RefSeq and is a predicted model, not a curated record.
GUAGACUUCGCCAGGUGAAUCUGUCUCAGAAUGAGUUGACCAGCUUGCCGUCCGGACUGCUCCAUCUCACCAGAGUCCAGAGGCUCUCUGCUGCUAAGAACAAGCUCACCUCCCUGUUUGACAUUCCUAAUGGUACUAACUGGAUCGGUCUGCGUAAGCUGGAGGAGCUGGAUGUGUCUGACAACUGUCUGACCAGUCUUCCCUCUGCUGUUCUUCACUCUUUCAAAUCCCUCACUUCCCUCAAAGUCUGCCGGAACAGACUAACCAGCUUCCCUGACCCCUGGGCCUGCCCUCUGAAGCACUGUCGAGCCUCAUCCAAUGCCAUCGAGAAUCUUCCCAAUACCAUCUCCAUCUUCUGGAGAACUCAGCUGCAGGAGGUGGAUUUCUCAGACAACGUCAUCAAGGAGCUGCCCUCCUAUAUAUUCGAGCU